RNAcentral lists this ribosomal RNA (216 nucleotides) under Glomeromycotina sp. Its description in RNAcentral is "partial small subunit ribosomal RNA". The stretch from base 40 to 216 matches the Rfam family "Eukaryotic small subunit ribosomal RNA", at positions 686 to 864 of the family's 1831-position model. Lineage: Eukaryota; Fungi; Glomeromycota. The record is from RNAcentral.
GGGUCAGUAGGUUGGUCGUGCCACCGGUACGUACUGGUCUCACUGAUUCCUCCUUCCUGAAGAACCGUAAUGCCAUUAAUUUGGUGUUGCGGGGAAACAGGACUGUUACUUUGAAAAAAUUAGAGUGUUUAAAGCAAGCUAACGCUCGAAUACAUGAGCAUGGAAUAAUGAAAUAGGACAAUCGAUCCUAUUUUGUUGGUUUCUAGGAUUGACGUA